UACGGAGGGUGCGAGCGUUAAUCGGAAUUACUGGGCGUAAAGCGUGCGCAGGCGGCUUUGCAAGACAGAUGUGAAAUCCCGGGCUCAACCUGGGAACUGCAUUUGUGACUGCAAGGCUAGAGUACGGCAGAGGGGGAUGGAAUUCCGCGUGUAGCAGUGAAAUGCGUAGAUAUGCGGAGGAACACCAAUGGCGAAGGCAAUCCCCUGGGCCUGUACUGACGCUCAUGCACGAAAGCGUGGGGAGCAAACAGG
RNAcentral lists this ribosomal RNA (252 nucleotides) under uncultured bacterium. RNAcentral's name for it is "partial 16S ribosomal RNA". It matches the Rfam family "Bacterial small subunit ribosomal RNA", at positions 524 to 776 of the family's 1533-position model. The record is from RNAcentral.